This 253-nucleotide ribosomal RNA is filed under the name uncultured bacterium. Its description in RNAcentral is "partial 16S ribosomal RNA". It matches the Rfam family "Bacterial small subunit ribosomal RNA", at positions 524 to 776 of the family's 1533-position model. The record is from RNAcentral.
UACGGAGGGUGCAAGCGUUAUCCGGAUUUACUGGGUUUAAAGGGUGCGUAGGUGGGUCUGUAAGUCAGUGGUGAAAUCUCCGAGCUUAACUCGGAAACUGCCAUUGAUACUAUAGGUCUUGAAGUAUCUGGAGGUAAGCGGAAUAUGUCAUGUAGCGGUGAAAUGCUUAGAUAUGACAUAGAACACCAAUUGCGAAGGCAGCUUACUACGGAUAUAUUGACACUGAGGCACGAAAGCGUGGGGAUCAAACAGG